This 1044-nucleotide ribosomal RNA is filed under the name Enterococcus faecium. RNAcentral describes it as "bacterial SSU rRNA". It matches the Rfam family "Bacterial small subunit ribosomal RNA", at positions 51 to 1066 of the family's 1533-position model. The record is from RNAcentral. Lineage: Bacteria; Bacillati; Bacillota; Bacilli; Lactobacillales; Enterococcaceae.
CUAUAAUGCAGUCGAACGCUUCUUUUUCCACCGGAGCUUGCUCCACCGGAAAAAGAGGAGUGGCGAACGGGUGAGUAACACGUGGGUAACCUGCCCAUCAGAAGGGGAUAACACUUGGAAACAGGUGCUAAUACCGUAUAACAAUCGAAACCGCAUGGUUUUGAUUUGAAAGGCGCUUUCGGGUGUCGCUGAUGGAUGGACCCGCGGUGCAUUAGCUAGUUGGUGAGGUAACGGCUCACCAAGGCCACGAUGCAUAGCCGACCUGAGAGGGUGAUCGGCCACAUUGGGACUGAGACACGGCCCAAACUCCUACGGGAGGCAGCAGUAGGGAAUCUUCGGCAAUGGACGAAAGUCUGACCGAGCAACGCCGCGUGAGUGAAGAAGGUUUUCGGAUCGUAAAACUCUGUUGUUAGAGAAGAACAAGGAUGAGAGUAACUGUUCAUCCCUUGACGGUAUCUAACCAGAAAGCCACGGCUAACUACGUGCCAGCAGCCGCGGUAAUACGUAGGUGGCAAGCGUUGUCCGGAUUUAUUGGGCGUAAAGCGAGCGCAGGCGGUUUCUUAAGUCUGAUGUGAAAGCCCCCGGCUCAACCGGGGAGGGUCAUUGGAAACUGGGAGACUUGAGUGCAGAAGAGGAGAGUGGAAUUCCAUGUGUAGCGGUGAAAUGCGUAGAUAUAUGGAGGAACACCAGUGGCGAAGGCGGCUCUCUGGUCUGUAACUGACGCUGAGGCUCGAAAGCGUGCGGAGCAGACAGGAUUAGAUACCCUGGUAGUCCACGCCGUACACGAUGAGUGCUAAGUGUUGGAGGGUUUCCGCCCUUCAGUGCUGCAGCUAACGCAUUAAGCACUCCGCCUGGGGAGUACGACCGCAAGGUUGAUACUCAAAGGAAUUGACGGGGGCUCGCACAACCAGUGGAGCAUGUGGUUUAAUUCGAAGCAACGCGAAGAACCUUACCAGGUCUUGACAUCCUUUGACCACUCUAGAGAUAGAGCUUCCCGUCGAGGACAAAGUGACAGGUGGUGCAUGGUUGUCGUCAGCUCGUGUC